Molecule: long non-coding RNA, 364 nt
Organism: Falco peregrinus (peregrine falcon)
Lineage: Eukaryota; Metazoa; Chordata; Aves; Falconiformes; Falconidae
Exons: 3
Source: RefSeq, a predicted model, not a curated record
UGUCAGUUAUAUGGAGUUCACCAUUACCUGGUUUUCGUAUUACCAGGAAUGAAUACUCAAACAGAAAAGAAAAGAAAAUGAAAGAUAAGAGAAAAGAGAAGAAGAUAUAAAAGCAGAAAGGAGAAAGCAGAAAGGAAAAAAGUAGAAGGUACAAGGGGUACCGAAUCUGACAGCAUAAGCCAUCAAAACCAAAACGAAGAAAAAGUAGACAUGAUGUGCAUGAGCCCCAAGUAACUCAUUCUUCGCUUUCCUUUAUCUGGCCUCCAUUGUGGCAGAUUUGAUUGUGUGGUAUGGAACACCAGAAGAUUGUAUUCACUGUGACAGAGAAUUGGGGCACAAAAGCAGCAUCAGCCUUCAGGGUAAG